GUGGGGAAUAUUGGACAAUGGGGGGAACCCUGAUCCAGCCAUGCCGCGUGUGUGAAGAAGGCCUUUUGGUUGUAAAGCACUUUAAGCGAAGAGGAGGCUACCGAGAUUAAUACUCUUGGAUAGUGGACGUUACUCGCAGAAUAAGCACCGGCUAACUCUGUGCCAGCAGCCGCGGUAAUACAGAGGGUGCAAGCGUUAAUCGGAUUUACUGGGCGUAAAGCGCGCGUAGGUGGCCAAUUAAGUCAAAUGUGAAAUCCCCGAGCUUAACUUGGGAAUUGCAUUCGAUACUGGUUGGCUAGAGUAUGGGAGAGGAUGGUAGAAUUCCAGGUGUAGCGGUGAAAUGCGUAGAGAUCUGGAGGAAUACCGAUGGCGAAGGCAGCCAUCUGGCCUAAUACUGACACUGAGGUGCGAAAGCAUGGGGAGCAAACAGGAUUAGAAACCCUGGUAGUCC
Molecule: ribosomal RNA, 451 nt
Filed under: uncultured bacterium
Lineage: Bacteria
Description: partial 16S ribosomal RNA
Rfam family: Bacterial small subunit ribosomal RNA
Source: RNAcentral